Long non-coding RNA from Bufo bufo (common toad), 194 nucleotides. RefSeq lists it as uncharacterized. The transcript is spliced from 3 exons. Lineage: Eukaryota; Metazoa; Chordata; Amphibia; Anura; Bufonidae. The record is from RefSeq and is a predicted model, not a curated record.
AUAAAUACCUUAAUGCACAGUGGGAGGCUGUGCCAUAUCGUCUAGUUGCCCGCAAGUAUGCAAAUGGGCCAGUGUACGAAGUCCAGAAGGAAGGAACUGAUUGUGUCCGAGUACUUCACAGAAAUAUGUUGCGCCUGUGUCAAUCUGAAGAAGCAAAUUGUGAUGGAACUGAUAAUGUCAACAAGCUCCCACAG